Long non-coding RNA from Triticum dicoccoides, 1249 nucleotides. RefSeq lists it as uncharacterized. The transcript is spliced from 2 exons. The record is from RefSeq and is a predicted model, not a curated record. Lineage: Eukaryota; Viridiplantae; Streptophyta; Magnoliopsida; Poales; Poaceae.
CAAGGGGACACGAACCGAGAAUACCGGAGAAGCACAAAUCCUUAGCGCAUGUGAGCGGACAAGAUAAAGCCCUACCUGAUGCUCGGCCUCCAUUGGCAUUUUCCGGUAUAUCGUGUCUUUUUUUUUUUUUUUUGCGGGGGAGGGGUAUAUGGUGGAGUAGCUUUUUCUUCUAACAGUGUUCUGGCCGAAUGGCGGCCCCGUGAAGCCAUGGCGUAUGCGCUGGCUUUGUUUCUUCCUCCCGGCUUGAUGCCUUUAGGGAGGCAGCUAUUCAGCUUCAGUAUGGAGUCUUCCUCUUCCGUCUUCGGCCGGAGAUGGAGUGGUGGCGAUCCGGUGAUCCCAAGCGGUCUUGUCCCCGGUGAUGGACGGACUGGAUCUGUGCUUGAGCUGACAUUUGGACCCAAUUGUAAUCUUGAUGCAAGUUUCAGGGACUAUGUUGUAGUUUUAUUUUCCUUUGAGUCCUGGUCUGAGCUUUGUACUGCAGCUGCUGGAAAAUAAAUAUAUAAAUGGUGUCAUCUCCAGCUCGCCAUAAGAAUGCGGCCUCUCCGUUCAUUUCAUCCCCAGGACGGACAACCACCUAGCUAGAACCUAGGCGCGCGAGUAAGUUGGCUGCCCCCGGAUAUCGCCCAUUGAGGAGCAGCUGCUGAGUCCAGGCUUCAUCUUGCCUGCAAGGAACAAAUACGGAUGAGCUAGGAAUAUGAUGGACAUCCAAGAUAUCCGCGAUGGUGUGUCAUCUCUGUUCAUCAUGCUGAACAAGGAGACAUUCGUGCUGUUUCGGAUCGAGUUUCUUGUGGUCCUGGUCACACUCUUGUUCCUCUCGAUGUUCAUCAUGGACGUCUUUCGUCGCCACAUCCGCAACAGAGUCAUGAAAACCAUCUUUAGCAUCUUGGAUGCCGUCUCUGACUCUAUUAUCUUAUACCUGCUGGGGGCCAUGCAAACAGCCAAGUUCAAGAAUCAGCUGUUCCCAGUCUGGGCCCUUGUGCUUGUUAGUUUCCGUUACAACGUCGACUUUAUCUCUGGCUAUGGUGUUGAUGACCGCCAUGGGCGACGGUUCAUGGAGUGGAGGAAUGUGGUGAAACUUCUGGGAUCGGCGUUCUUGAACUGGUCACGUGGCUCAAGGUUCACACUUCCACUCUGGUCGCUUUGGGCUCUGCAGAUACUAAGGAGCUUUGUAUUGUCUUGUUUGAGAAAUAUAAUUCGGAAUUUUGAACUGACCUGAACUUUACCGGCUUCGUCAAUGAAGCAUAAUUCA